This 250-nucleotide unclassified non-coding RNA is filed under the name plant metagenome. Its description in RNAcentral is "partial contains small subunit ribosomal RNA, internal transcribed spacer 1, and 5.8S ribosomal RNA". The record is from RNAcentral.
GUAGGUGAACCUGCGGAAGGAUCAUUAACGAGUUAGGGUCUUCCAGGCCCGACCUCCCAACCCUUUGUUUACAGAACCUCUGUUGCUUCGGCGGACCCGUCUCACGACCGCCGGAGGACCGCCGAGAGGCGUCCUCUGGUCAGUGUCCGUCGAUAGCCCAACUUAAACCCUGAAUGAAUCGUGUCGUAUGUCUAAGUCUAAGAUUAAAUAAAGCAAAACUUUCAACAACGGAUCUCUUGGUUCUGGCAUC